AUAAAGUCUUAGAGUAGUAGUAGUGUGCGUAUUAAAAGAACAAGACUUCAAUUUAGAUUAAUGAGGUAUUCACACUUGUACAGCCACUUCACCUGUUUCCACCUAUAACUUUCUAAAAUAUUCACACAAAUUAUUGAGAGAGGUGUGUGUGUAAAAUAUAUAUCUAUCUCCAUCCAUCCCCAGGACGUACUAGAAAACCAGAGUAAUCUGAAUGUC
Pelobates cultripes (western spadefoot toad) is the source of this 216-nucleotide non-coding RNA. NCBI's taxonomy places the organism in Eukaryota, Metazoa, Chordata, Amphibia, Anura, Pelobatidae. The record is from the annotation of a GenBank genome assembly.